GGGCGCCCAACCUCCCACCCGUGACUACCUAACACUGUUGCUUCGGCGGGGAGCCCUCUCGGGGGCGAGCCGCCGGGGACUACUGAACUUCAUGCCUGAGAGUGAUGCAGUCUGAGUCUGAAUAUAAAAUCAGUCAAAACUUUCAACAAUGGAUCUCUUGGUUCCGGCAUCGAUGAAGAACGCAGCGAACUGCGAUAAGUAAUGUGAAUUGCAGAAUUCAGUGAAUCAUCGAGUCUUUGAACGCACAUUGCGCCCCCUGGCAUUCCGGGGGGCAUGCCUGUCCGAGCGUCAUUGCUGCCCAUCAAGCCCGGCUUGUGUGUUGGGUCGUCGUCCCCCCCGGGGGACGGGCCCGAAAGGCAGCGGCGGCACCGUGUCCGGUCCUCGAGCGUAUGGGGCUUUGUCACCCGCUCGAUUUAGGGCCGGCCGGGCGCCAGCCGACGUCCAACCAUUUUUCUUCAGGUUGACCUCGGAUCAGGUAGGGAUACCCGCUGAACUUAAGCAUAUCAAUAAGCGGAGGAAAAGAAACCAACCGGGAUUGCCCCAGUAACGGCGAGUGAAGCGGCAAGAGCUCAAAUUUGAAAUCUGGCCCCUCCGGGGUCCGAGUUGUAAUUUGCAGAGGAUGCUUCGGG
This 629-nucleotide unclassified non-coding RNA is filed under the name Aspergillus fructus. Its description in RNAcentral is "sequence contains ITS1, 5.8S rRNA gene, ITS2". The stretch from base 138 to 291 matches the Rfam family "5.8S ribosomal RNA". The record is from RNAcentral. Lineage: Eukaryota; Fungi; Ascomycota; Eurotiomycetes; Eurotiales; Aspergillaceae.